This 257-nucleotide ribosomal RNA is filed under the name Pireneitega triglochinata. RNAcentral describes it as "partial small subunit ribosomal RNA". Lineage: Eukaryota; Metazoa; Arthropoda; Arachnida; Araneae; Agelenidae. The record is from RNAcentral.
AUCGAUAAUCCACGUUANUCCUCACUUUAAUUUAAAAUUUAUAUAUCGCCAUCUUAAGAAUUAAUUUAAAAAUCUUUCUCUCAAUAAUUAAUAAAAAGUUAGGUCAAGGUGUAAUCUAUAUUAAAGAUUAGAUGAAUUACACUAAAAAAUAUUUAAAGCUUAUCUAUACACUUACAGAUACAAAUAAGAAUUUAAAAGUAAUAUAUAUAUAACAAUAAUUAUAUAUGAUAAAGAUAAUAAAUGUGCACACAUCGCCC